GGCAACACUGAUAGAAGCAUAGGUUUUAAAUUCCAUCCUUCUUUUGCAUACAUUGCCACUGGAUCAUAACAGGUUUAUUUAAUUAGUCAAUAAUUAAAGGCUUUAUUUCAUACAAGUGUACAGAAGUUGCUUAGAAAUAAGUUUAAACUCAACAGAUUGACACUGAAACCACACUGAACAAAGAGCCUUUAAAAAGUUAUUCUUGGAGAUUCGUCCAAAAAUCAGGUGAGGACACUUUUUCAUGGGCAGACAUUCAGGCAGCAGCAGACAUCUGAGGGGGCGGUGGGAUGGAAGUAAAGUGCAGGGAGCUGCUCGGAAAAAGUUACCUGCAAGGACACGACUCAUUCAAAUUCGGAGUGACUGACAAGCCUCCUGGAUAGGUCCCCACAGCAGAAUAUAUUAAGACAUUGUCCAAGAAUGCAGGGAAUGAAAUCAUCAGCAAAAAUGGCAGUCAGUCAAUCUGCUUGUCAUCAUCACUGAUGAAGAAGAAGAGAAGUUAUUUUUCUCAGUUGCCUCACAAAAACACUACAUGAUAUCACCAGCGUCAAAGUACAUCCUGUCAAUCAGAGAUGGUAAACUUAAAUAAUUAAGUUAUUGCUAUGGAUAUUGGUUCCAUAAUUUGAAUUCAAUUAAUUAAUUAAUUAAUUCAAUUAAUCCUUUAUCAAAUUAAAGUAUAAAAUAAGAUCUUACAGUUAUUUUACAGAAAUUCAGUUUAUAGAGGAAGGAUCCUUAUAUAUUAAGGUUUAUUUUGGAUUGGUUUAAAAUAUUUUAGAAAUUCCAUUCAUUCAUUCAUUUAUUUAUUAUUUAGUUGUCAAACGUAUCAAUUUAUCAGUUCUUAUUUAAAACAAAUGUACUACUUUUACAUUACAAUGCAUCUGCAAUAAUG
This is a long non-coding RNA of Cyprinus carpio carpio, 886 nucleotides long. The record is from Ensembl. Lineage: Eukaryota; Metazoa; Chordata; Actinopteri; Cypriniformes; Cyprinidae.